RNAcentral lists this ribosomal RNA (254 nucleotides) under uncultured bacterium. Its description in RNAcentral is "partial 16S ribosomal RNA". It matches the Rfam family "Bacterial small subunit ribosomal RNA", at positions 524 to 776 of the family's 1533-position model. The record is from RNAcentral.
UACGUAGGGCGCAAGCGUUUGUCCGGAAUUAUUGGGCGUAAAGAGCUCGUAGGCGGUUUGUCGCGUCGGGAGUGAAAUCCACUGGCUUAACUGGUGGCUUGCUUUCGAUACGGGCAGACUAGAGUGCUGUAGGGGAGACUGGAAUUCCUGGUGUAGCGGUGAAAUGCGCAGAUAUCAGGAGGAACACCGGUGGCGAAGGCGGGUCUCUGGGCAGUAACUGACGCUGAGGAGCGAAAGCGUGGGGAGCGAACAGG